RNAcentral lists this ribosomal RNA (201 nucleotides) under Helicobacter pylori. RNAcentral describes it as "partial 23S ribosomal RNA". It matches the Rfam family "Bacterial large subunit ribosomal RNA", at positions 2024 to 2224 of the family's 2925-position model. The record is from RNAcentral. Lineage: Bacteria; Pseudomonadati; Campylobacterota; Epsilonproteobacteria; Campylobacterales; Helicobacteraceae.
ACCAGAGAUUCAGUGAAAUUGUAGUGGAGGUGAAAAUUCCUCCUACCCGCGGCAAGACGGAGAGACCCCGUGGACCUUUACUACAACUUAGCACUGCUAACGGGAAUAUCAUGCGCAGGAUAGGUGGGAGGCUUUGAAGUAAGGGCUUUGGCUCUUAUGGAGCCAUCCUUGAGAUACCACCCUUGAUGUUUCUGUUAGCUA